RNAcentral lists this non-coding RNA (45 nucleotides) under Schistosoma margrebowiei. The record is from RNAcentral. Lineage: Eukaryota; Metazoa; Platyhelminthes; Trematoda; Strigeidida; Schistosomatidae.
AUCCAUCUGACGAUUCCCAAACAUGACGAAUCGCGCGUCCUGGAU